CUGCGUUAUGUUAAGAUACAUAAGAAUGGUAUUUUCAAUGAUUUACGUGUGUUGUGUGCUUGUUUUUUCACAAAGUGCACAGCCAUUUGUUCAAGAAGGAAACAUAGGUUCACUUGUUAUCAAAGUUUUUGAUAAAAUAGGGCCGUUGCAGUGUUUGAAAAAGUGUUUACACCAUAAAAACUGCAAAGAAACAAACUACCACAAACAAAAUUUACAGUGCGAGUUAUAUACAAAAUCAAAUCCGAAUAAAUCGAAAGACAAAUCAGGAUUUAUAUCU
Molecule: long non-coding RNA, 277 nt
Filed under: Mytilus galloprovincialis (Mediterranean mussel)
Lineage: Eukaryota; Metazoa; Mollusca; Bivalvia; Mytilida; Mytilidae
Source: RNAcentral